RNAcentral lists this ribosomal RNA (256 nucleotides) under uncultured bacterium. RNAcentral's name for it is "partial 16S ribosomal RNA". It matches the Rfam family "Bacterial small subunit ribosomal RNA", at positions 524 to 776 of the family's 1533-position model. The record is from RNAcentral.
AACGUAGGAGACAAACGUUUAUCCGGAGUUACUGGGCGUAAAGGGCGUGUAGGUGGUAAUGUAAGUCUGGCGUGAAAUUUUUUCGGCUUAACCGGGAAAGGUCGUCGGAGACUGCAUAACUAGAGGACGGUAGAGGCGUGUGGAAUUCCGGGUGUAGUGGUGAAAUUCGUAGAUAUUUCGGAAGAACACCAGUGGCGAAGGCGACUUACUGGACACAUAUUGACGCUGAGGUGCGAAAGCGUGGGGAGCAAACAGG